Molecule: ribosomal RNA, 325 nt
Filed under: uncultured eukaryote
Lineage: Eukaryota
Description: partial 18S ribosomal RNA
Rfam family: Eukaryotic small subunit ribosomal RNA
Source: RNAcentral
CCCUUAGAUGUUCUGGGCCGCACGCGCGCUACACUGAUGCAUUCAACGAGCCUAUCCUUGACCGACAGGUCCGGGUAAUCUUUGAAUCUGCAUCGUGACGGGGAUAGAUUGUUGCAAUUAUUAAUCUUCAACGAGGAAUGCCUAGUAGGCGCAAGUCAUCAGCUUGCGUCGAUUACGUCCCUGCCCUUUGUACACACCGCCCGUCGCUCCUACCGAUUGGGUGUGCUGGUGAAAUGUUCGGAUCGGCCGUUUGUCGCGGUUUCCGCGGCUCGUGGCUGAGAAGUUCAUUAAACCCUCCCACCUAGAGGAAGGAGAAGUCGUAACA